RNAcentral lists this ribosomal RNA (388 nucleotides) under Indotestudo elongata (Elongated tortoise). Its description in RNAcentral is "partial 12S ribosomal RNA". It matches the Rfam family "Bacterial small subunit ribosomal RNA", at positions 800 to 1384 of the family's 1533-position model. Lineage: Eukaryota; Metazoa; Chordata; Testudines; Testudinidae. The record is from RNAcentral.
CUAUAAACCCAGAUAUUUAAUACACAAAAAUAUCCGCCAGAGAACUACGAGCAAAAUGCUUAAAACUCUAAGGACUUGACGGUACCUUAAACCCUCCUAGAGGAGCCUGUUCUAUAAUCGAUAAUCCACGAUCUACCUCACCAUCUCUUGCCAGUACCGCCUAUAUACCGCCGUCACCAGCCUACCCUAUGAAGGACAUAAAAGUAAGCAAAACAACAAAACAGCUAACAAGUCAGGUCAAGGUGUAGCUUACUGAGAUGGAAGAAAUGGGCUACAUUUUCUAAACUAGAAAUAUUUUACGGAAAGAACUAUGAAACAAGUCUUAUAAGUAGGAUUUAGCAGUAAAUAAGGAUCAGAAUGCCCUAUUUAAGCCGGCCCUAAGGCACGC